UACGUAGGGUGCAAGCGUUAAUCGGAAUUACUGGGCGUAAAGCGUGCGCAGGCGGUUGUGUAAGUCUGUCGUGAAAUCCCCGGGCUCAACCUGGGAAUUGCGAUGGAGACUGCACGGCUAGAGUGUGUCAGAGGGGGGUAGAAUUCCACGUGUAGCAGUGAAAUGCGUAGAUAUGUGGAGGAACACCGAUGGCGAAGGCAGCCCCCUGGGAUAACACUGACGCUCAUGCACGAAGGCGUGGGGAGCAAACAGG
Molecule: ribosomal RNA, 253 nt
Filed under: uncultured bacterium
Lineage: Bacteria
Description: partial 16S ribosomal RNA
Rfam family: Bacterial small subunit ribosomal RNA
Source: RNAcentral